Molecule: ribosomal RNA, 422 nt
Filed under: uncultured bacterium
Lineage: Bacteria
Description: bacterial SSU rRNA
Rfam family: Bacterial small subunit ribosomal RNA
Source: RNAcentral
UGAGGAAUAUUGGGCAAUGCCCGCAAGGGUGACCCAGCAACGCCGCGUGGAGGAUGAACGUCGUAAGAUUGUAAACUCCUGUUAGAGGGGAAGAAUAGUACCGGUUGGACCGGUAUAUGACUGUACCCUCAGAGAAAGCCCCGGCUAACUACGUGCCAGCAGCCGCGGUAAUACGUAGGGGGCAAGCGUUGUCCGGAUUUACUGGGUGUAAAGGGCGCGCAGGCGGGAUAAAAAGUCAGUGGUGAAAUCCUACAGCUUAACUGUAGAACUGCCUUUGAUACUUUUAUUCUUGAGUUUGGGAGAGAGAGACGGAAUUCCAGGUGUAGUGGUGAAAUACGUAGAUAUCUGGAAGAACACCAGUUGCGAAGGCGGUCUCUUGGUCCGACACUGACGCUGAGGCGCGAAAGCGUGGGGAGCAAACA